UACCAUGCUGCACAGAGUGUGCUAUAAAUGGUUCACUCUGUGCCUCUGGCCUUUGACCAGCACUAAUCACUGUUGUGCAUCAGAUCUGAGUCAGACUGAAAGUGAAAGUCAGUUGGAGCCCUUCAAUAUCACCUCCCAGGACAUUUUGCUCCUCCUCCUAAAAACAUACUUUUUAAGGGGAUUUUCCAUCUAUUCCCUUGCUUUCUGAGAACAGCUGAAACUGAGCGGACUGAGUCGGCAAGCUCUGAGUUUCUCACUCGUGUCUCACGGUCAAGGCUGUAUAGGGAAUUUUCACAAACCAGGGACACGGCUAGAACAGGGAAUACAAGAUCCCUUGAACAGAUGAUGCUGAUGUCACUCUUUGUUCUUUUUUUGGUUGUCCUCAGUCAGCCAUCAGGACUCCUGGCUGUAGUCGACAUGAAGUGCAGUGCCGAGAGUCGCGACAGAAGCGCUGUGCUGACAUGUGUAGCAGCUGGAAACUGUGAAGAGCAAGUCACCAUUGCUCACCUCAUGUGGAAAAGGGAUUCAGUGCCACUUGUUACACUGUCAGAAAACGGAAUUGAGAGCAAGGAACCAGAGCGCUUUGAAUUAAAGGAGGAGCCAUGGCAUGCCGAUUCCUGGGCCACUUCUCUGCAGAUAAACAACGUUAAAAGUCAGGACAAGGGAAAAUACAGCUGUAGUGUAAUCACUGAUUGUGGUACAUGGAAAGGAUCAGUUCAUUUGGACAUUCCAGAAACCGUGGAACUCCCGAAUCCGACACCACCACCACCACCGUCAGCAGAUAAUGGAGUAAUUGGAAAACGGGAACAGGACCCGAUACCCCCUGCUGAAAACACAGGACACCAUAAAGCAGCACUGGCAGGAACCGUUGCAACCCUUGUUGUGCUGAUUGCUGUGCUUGUUGCUGUGCGAAAACGGCAUCUCAUUGAGCAGCAGACGAGCAGGUUGCGGUUCAUUUUCCAUAAAAGAGCCGCACAAGCAGAAGAGGAACAGGAGCAGUACAUCAAGAACAUCAGGGAAGAGCAUGAUCCAGUGUAGAGAAGAUGGCACAGACACAAAUUUGGGGGUGAAAACUCAGUUCAAACACUUCACAUGUAAAUGUAAAUGUGAAGGGAAACCUGAGAAGCAGUUAUUACUCCCACAUGUUGUGAGGAGGACUGUUUAUUCUCUUUUGUGUGACGGUUGCGGUUGUCCACAAUCCUAGUCUUACAGCUGUAAUAGUAAGCGAGUGUCUCUGUACUGCACAGUGGCUCUCCACUAAAAACACUACUGUAUGCCGUAUGCUCUAUAUGUGUGUACCCACAUGUGCAAAUGUAUGUAAAUAUUACAGAAAAUGUAAUACUGUUGUGACUUGGGUGACCUGUGAUUUCUUGUCUUCAUUGCUAACAUUAAUGAGCAUGCUGUAUAUUAAUGUUAAUAUUACAUAAGAAAGGGGGCGCGGUGGCGCAGUGGGUUGGACCACAGUCCUGCUCUCCGGUGGGUCUGGGGUUCGAGUCCCGCUUGGGGUGCCUUGUGGCGGACUGGCGUCCCGUCCUGGGUGUGUCCCCUCCCCCUCUGGCCUUACGCCCUGUGUUGCCGGGUAGGCUCCGGUUCCCCGUGACCCUGUAAGGGACAAGCGGUUCUGAAAAUGUGUGUGUGUGUGUGUAUUACAUAAGAGACGGUCCCGCUUGGGGUGCCUUGUGAUGGACUGGCGUCCUGUCCUGGGUGUGUCCCCUCCCCCUCCAGCCUUACGCCCUGUGUUGCAGGGUUAGGCUCCGGUUCCCCACGACCCCGUAUGGGACAAGCGGUUCAGAAAAUGUGUGUGUGUGUGUGUGUGUGUGUGUAUUACAUAAGAAGUCCAGGUUUUAAGAAUUACUGGAUAUCUGAAUGUUUCUAUAAUCUUAAAUUUGAAAAUGUCUUGUUCAAAAACAAUAAAGUUAUUUUUAAUAAACUGUGAACUGUUCA
RNAcentral lists this long non-coding RNA (1944 nucleotides) under Scleropages formosus (Asian bonytongue). Its description in RNAcentral is "lncRNA (ENSSFOG00015026536.1)". The record is from RNAcentral. Lineage: Eukaryota; Metazoa; Chordata; Actinopteri; Osteoglossiformes; Osteoglossidae.